Molecule: transfer RNA, 75 nt
Filed under: Cordylochernes scorpioides
Lineage: Eukaryota; Metazoa; Arthropoda; Arachnida; Pseudoscorpiones; Chernetidae
Description: tRNA-Thr
Rfam family: tRNA
About the family: Transfer RNA (tRNA) molecules are approximately 80 nucleotides in length.
Source: RNAcentral
UCCAGGGUAGCCUAGUGGACAUGGCAUCUGCCCGGUAAGCGGAAUAUUGUGGGUUCGAUUCCCAUCCCCCUGGAC